GACGAACGCUGGCGGCGUGCUUAACACAUGCAAGUCGAACGGAAAGGCCCUGCUUUUGUGGGGUGCUCGAGUGGCGAACGGGUGAGUAACACGUGAGUAACCUGCCCUUGACUUUGGUAUAACUUCAGGAAACUGGGGCUAAUACCGUAUAGGAGAUCCUGCUGCAUGGUGGGGGUUGGAAAGUCUCGGCGGUUGGGGAUGGAUUCGCGGCUUAUGAACUUGUUGGUGGGGUAGUGGCUUACCCAGGCUUUGACGGGUCGGCGGCCCGGGAGGGUGACCGGCCACAUUGGUACUGAGAUACGGCCCAGACUCCUACGGGAGGCAGCAGUGGGGAAUAUUGCACAAUGGGCGGAAGCCUGAUGCAGCAACGCCGCGUGCGGGAUGACGGCCUUCGGGUUGUAAACCGCUUUCGCCUGUGACGAAGCGUGAGUGACGGUAAUGGGUAAAGAAGCACCGGCUAACUACGUG
RNAcentral lists this ribosomal RNA (468 nucleotides) under uncultured bacterium. RNAcentral's name for it is "partial 16S ribosomal RNA". It matches the Rfam family "Bacterial small subunit ribosomal RNA", at positions 28 to 507 of the family's 1533-position model. The record is from RNAcentral.